UGCAAAUCCUUGGUGAUGAAAAGGGAAUGCCGUGAGAAUCGGCAGCAGUUCCCGCUGCUGUAAGUUCCGUCUACGGCCGCAACACGCUCGAGCCACUGGUUUUGCAACUGGGAAGGCGUUGCGGCAGGAACAAGCCAGAAGACCUGCCUUGGCAA
RNAcentral lists this non-coding RNA (155 nucleotides) under uncultured Alistipes sp. Lineage: Bacteria; Pseudomonadati; Bacteroidota; Bacteroidia; Bacteroidales; Rikenellaceae. The record is from RNAcentral.